UUUCUACUCCCUCUGUCCGAAAAUACUUGUCAUCAAAAUGAAUAAAAAGGAAUGUAUCUAGAACUAAAAUACAUCUAGAUACAUUCACUUUUAUUCAUUUUGAUGACAAGUAUUUCCGGGCGGAGGGAGUACUAU
Triticum aestivum (bread wheat) is the source of this 135-nucleotide non-coding RNA. NCBI's taxonomy places the organism in Eukaryota, Viridiplantae, Streptophyta, Magnoliopsida, Poales, Poaceae. The record is from Rfam.